RNAcentral lists this unclassified non-coding RNA (346 nucleotides) under soil metagenome. RNAcentral describes it as "partial contains 5.8S ribosomal RNA, internal transcribed spacer 2, and large subunit ribosomal RNA". The stretch from base 1 to 120 matches the Rfam family "5.8S ribosomal RNA", at positions 35 to 154 of the family's 154-position model. The record is from RNAcentral.
GAUGAAGAACGUAGCGAAAUGCGACAAUUAAUGUGAAUUGCAGAAUUCAGUGAAUCAUCGAGUCUUUGAACGCACAUUGCGCCCCCUGGUAUUCCGGGGGGCAUGCCUGUCCGAGCGUCAUUGCUGCCCUCAAGCCCGGCUUGUGUGUUGGGCCUCGUCCCCCCUCCGGGGGACGGGCCCGAAAGGCAGCGGCGGCACCGUGUCCGGUCCUCGAGCGUAUGGGGCUUUGUCACCUGCUCUGUAGGCCCGGCCGGCGCCUUAGCCGACGACACAAUCUUUUUUUUCAGGUUGACCUCGGAUCAGGUAGGGAUACCCGCUGAACUUAAGCAUAUCAAUAAGCGGAGGA